Molecule: ribosomal RNA, 497 nt
Filed under: uncultured bacterium
Lineage: Bacteria
Description: partial 16S ribosomal RNA
Rfam family: Bacterial small subunit ribosomal RNA
Source: RNAcentral
GAUGAACGCUGGCGGCGUGCCUAAUACAUGCAAGUCGAGCGAACGGACGAGAAGCUUGCUUUUCUGAUGUUAGCGGCGGACGGGUGAGUAACACGUGGAUAACCUACCUAUAAGACUGGGAUAACUUCGGGAAACCGGAGCUAAUACCGGAUAAUAUUUUGAACCGCAUGGUUCAAAAGUGAAAGACGGUCUUGCUGUCACUUAUAGAUGGAUCCGCGCUGCAUUAGCUAGUUGGUAAGGUAACGGCUUACCAAGGCAACGAUGCAUAGCCGACCUGAGAAGGUGAUCGGCCACACUGGAACUGAGACACGGUCCAGACUCCUACGGGAGGCAGCAGUAGGGAAUCUUCCGCAAUGGGCGAAAGCCUGACGGAGCAACGCCGCGUGAGUGAUGAAGGUCUUCGGAUCGUAAAACUCUGUUAUUAGGGAAGAACAUAUGUGUAAGUAACUGUGCACAUCUUGACGGUACCUAAUCAGAAAGCCACGGCUAACUACGUG